This is a long non-coding RNA of Cyprinus carpio (common carp), 408 nucleotides long. NCBI's taxonomy places the organism in Eukaryota, Metazoa, Chordata, Actinopteri, Cypriniformes, Cyprinidae. The record is from Ensembl.
ACGAGUCUCAUUAUAACCAGUAAAAUCAUUACAAAUUUUGUAAUGGUGUCUAUUGUUUUUUGUUUGUUUUUUCAGUAGGGGUCCAUUGUGCAAACCUCUUUAAGCUUUGCUUUGCUUUUGUUAGAGGCACCUAUAUUAAAAUAAAUUGUACUGCAGGUACCAUGUUUGAAUGUCUUUGGAGGCCACUAGUAGGAGUCUGGAGACUCCUGUGCAGCCAUGUGACUGAUGACUCUGGUGGGAUAUUUGAGUGUCUGUGGAGGCCUCUGAGAAGAGUCUGGAGACUCCUGUGCUGCCAUGAACCUGGUGAUUCUGAAAUAAAACUUUCAGUGGAAGAAAGGACACCACUAUUCAGUGAUCAAAGCUCUGUCCAUCCAUGGUGAAGACCUCAGGAGGUUUUCUUCACUGAGG